UUUUUGGAGAGUUUGAUCUUGGCUCAGGACGAACGCUGGCGGCGUGCCUAAUACAUGCAAGUCGAGCGCGGGAAUCUCUUCUGAUCCCUUCGGGGUGAAGAGAGUGGAACGAGCGGCGGACGGGUGAGUAACACGUGGGCAACCUACCUAUAAGACUGGGAUAACUCGCGGAAACGUGAGCUAAUACCGGAUAAUACUUUUUAUUGCAUAGUAAGAAGUUUGAAAGGCGGCGUAAGCUGUCACUUAUAGAUGGACCCGCGGCGCAUUAGCUAGUUGGUGAGGUAAAGGCUCACCAAGGCAACGAUGCGUAGCCGACCUGAGAGGGUGAUCGGCCACACUGGGACUGAGACACGG
Molecule: ribosomal RNA, 354 nt
Filed under: Bacilli bacterium
Lineage: Bacteria; Bacillati; Bacillota; Bacilli
Description: bacterial SSU rRNA
Rfam family: Bacterial small subunit ribosomal RNA
Source: RNAcentral